GUGGCUACAUAAAACAUCUCGUUUAGUUUAUCCGCCGGCUCGCUUCGUCUCCGGUUCGCUUUGUCUCGUUGGCGGUCGUCGUCCUGCUUAGAAGGAGAGCUAGGGUGGUUGGUGAUGAUUAAUCAGAUGACGCAUGCGUGUAGUCUCGUCCUUCGUCUCGUGGCUCAAGGCUAAGGGCCGCUACCGCAGGAGCAGCAGCAGCAGCGCGCACAGGUGCCGCACCGCCGGCGUCGGGGCGGAGUGGAGCCUCGCGCGGCGGUUACCUCGGCACCGCCACUGCGACCCCUACGGCUCCUCCCUCCGCGCCCACUGAGACGCCCGCGUGCGCGCCGCCUCGUAGCGCCGGCGCCGCACCCGCCUCCGCCCACAGCGCCGCACCUCGUCCCCCUUCCUCCGCCGCUGCCACACGCGCCGCCGCCCCGUCCACCGCCCCUGCUCGCGGUGGCCCCGGCCCCAGCCCCACCCCCCGUCCUCGCAGCCCUGCCUGCACCGGGACCGGUGCCGGCGGCACCAGCGGUGCCCGUGCCGCUUGGCGCAGGAGAUGUUCGAGCGGGAGCACGGCGACGCGGUCAUGGGGAAGAAGGAGCGCGUCAAGCGGUGCAAGCCCAUGCGGGAGGGUAGGUGGGGGAGGGGGAAGAGGAGGUCGGCCGGUAACUGACUAACGAGUCUCGGCUAGGAGCGAGGCGAAGGGCGGCGGCGGCGGCGGCAGCAGCUAGGUCAGCUCCCGCCAAGGAGGAGCUCGUCGCCCCUCUAAGGUCGGUCGGUGGUGCUAGCUAGCUAGCUAUGCGCUCGACAGCACAGCGCUUAGUAAAAAGGAGGAGCCGGGCACGCCGCGCACGGAGCACCCGGGGAGCGCGCGCCCCGGGCGCACAGACCCUCUCAUGGCCCGGUUCUAAAAAAGACCACCAAGCAACCAUAAUAAUAAUAAUAAUAUAGACCUACCUGUACCAACGACGACGACCCAUGCCGACACGAGGAAAUGAAAGGGGAGACCACAGAUCACCUGCGGACUCGACAGGAAGGGUGAUAUGGACUAGCGGUUUUAGGUUCGUCACGGUGUGGGCUUUAAACCUGAGGUGAGCGGGACAAAAGGCGCACGCUGAACGACGGGCACCCCGGGCCCAGUCACGUCCGACCCGUACUAUCGAACGUAUUUUGGGCUGUGGGCUUCGGGCUUGGGCGUAUUGGACCUGGCCUUUUUGGGCUCGUGAUGUAUGUAGCCCAUCGUCAAAACCUUUCGGCCUAAAAUAAGCCCUUUACUAAUAACCUCGGGUGAUCUUUAUCUGGCGCGUCUACAGUAAGUGAGUAAGCGACGCCUUUACGACAAUAAAAACCGACGACCACAGUGAGCGAGUGUGUGUAUCCCACAUGGUGAACCGUGGCCUAUCUUACCCGAAGACAAAAAGAACCUGUGCGUAGCUCUCACACAGUAACAACAUCAUAAUCAAACUCUUUCUUGUGCCUCUUCCGUUUUAUGUCUUCCUGACGUCGGACUUCUUUGGGUUUAUUUUAACGAAACUAAAAUCUUUUUUUUUUACUCAGACAAAUCUUUACCUUCGGAAAAACGGCGAAGAGGUACCCAUCCCGGAUCUCCGACUUUUGAACCGCCACACGCCAACCAGAGUAGUCCCAAAUACGGAAAACGAGCAAUAACGUGUUGGUAGCACAAGUAAAGUGGUAACAAUAAAAACGUGUGAUUGUGGCAUACGAGGGGUUUAAAGAUAGUACUAUUUUACCUUUGUAUGUACACUUUUUUUCUCUGAAGACUAGCUUGUAAAGAACCUGCGAUUAUUGUGCCAUACCUAGAGAAGUGAAAACGUCGAUACACCAACAGAUAAAGAGUUAGGACAAAAAAGCAAUAGUUCGACCGGUACACUGCCUACUCUACGAAAGAGAGGGUGUCUUUGGAAAAUAUGAGUAUCCGGAGAACCUCCGAGAUCGUCGUCGUCGUCCCUACCGACGACCUCGAUAAGAAAGACCCCGAAGUUAUGGUUAUAAUAGUGUCUGGAUAGAACAUACCGUCGAACAAAACAGACGAUAAAAGGAUUUCUCCGCGAUAUCUGAAUUACUCUAUUGUCCUACGAAAGAUCACUGUCAACCACACCAUUAUUGACAUCGUUCACCUUGACCACGACCACGAAGUGAUGUUUCAUGACCUUAAAACACCGGUGACGAUUACUAUUAUAGUAAGAAAGACGUUCGACGACUGUGUCAUAACUUCCUCUAUUAUAAAUAUCUAUGACGAUUCUUAAACUUCCCACCGAGUCAACUAGAAAAACAGCAGUUGAGCAUACCGAGACGAAUAGUUCGAUAAAAAUACACAGAGAACAACGGCAAGAACAGUUUCAACACCCCAUAAGGUAAGGUAGAUGAUGGUUGUAUGUAGUCUCUACCACGUCGGACGAAAGAUUUAUACCCUUGAAAUAGACGACCGACACUUCCCCGUGGUGACGAUGGCGAUGAUAAACACAACCAAUUAUACCCUAAGUUAUAUAGAAACGAUGUGGAUAACUUCUAUAGAAGACGACAACGUAGAACAGAUCGUAGAUGUAAGAGUCAGGGCGACAGCUAGAUGCGGAAGUGGGAUGGCGACGGCAUGUAGCCGCACCGCAGCUGGGAGGGAGGGCCGAAGCAGCGUCCGCGUCGGCAGGAGUAGCGGCCGAAUGAUUACAUGUCGCAAGGCGUCGGUCUUCUAACGCCCCUUUCGGUCCUUACUGGUCGAUUAAUCGUACGUAAAGAACCAUAAGAUGAUGUAUUGGUACCGACCGAGGAGUAGGCCGGACCCGAACCUUCCGUCUCGUCUUCAAGAGGACUCUCGGUGGACUGGACUGACAACACACAACAUACCAUCGCACAGUAUAUAGGUUAUUUUCGCUCCCCUCCGGCGUACCCAUGUAUCUGUUCUUAUUUUUCCAACUCUAGUUCGUCACUUAUGGAGAGAAACACACGAGACAACAGAGGAUGACCCUGCCCGUGAGCGUCAAACACCUCCCCUCCUCUCGGUCCCUCUUCUCGUCCUCGUAGUAGUGGUGUCCCUGCUUCUCGUCCUUCCGGCCGCCGCCGCCGUCGCCCCCGUCGUGGUCGCCCUCCGUGUCCUCGCAGCGGCGGCGGCGGUCGUUUUAGUAGUCCUCGUGCGGGGACAGGUAGACCCGGGCAUGGCCGAAGAGAUCACCUACAAGUAGAGAAUGAGACACACACAAACCAACCGGACCCAAGGAACCUUCUCCUUCUUGAGAGCACACAACCCUCCUCCUUACACCUACAACGAAACACACCCUCUGUUGAGAAACUAAGAAACGAGGAGACGCCACUUAUAUAUAACCACACCAGCACCACCCACCGGGAGAAAGACCCUCCGGCUCCUACGGGCACCCCUGCCUGUCAACCUCUCCUGUACGUACGUACCCCCACCCGGCCGGUGACGGACGACGAAACAAAUAAAUGGUUAUUAUUGUGUUCGCCAUUAGGUCAGGGAGACU
Molecule: ribosomal RNA, 3479 nt
Filed under: Triticum aestivum (bread wheat)
Lineage: Eukaryota; Viridiplantae; Streptophyta; Magnoliopsida; Poales; Poaceae
Description: partial small subunit ribosomal RNA
Source: RNAcentral